CGCUGGCGGCGCGCCUAACACAUGCAAGUCGAACGAGAGAUGAAGAGCUUGCUCUUCAAAUCGAGUGGCGAACGGGUGAGUAACGCGUGAGGAGCCUGCCUCAAAGAGGGGGACAACAGUUGGAAACGGCUGCUAAUACCGCAUAAGCCCACGGCUCGGCAUCGAGCAGAGGGAAAAGGAGCAAUCCGCUUUGAGAUGGCCUCGCGUCCGAUUAGCUAGUUGGUGAGGUAACGGCCCACCAAGGCGACGAUCGGUAGCCGGACUGAGAGGUUGAACGGCCACAUUGGGACUGAGACACGGCCCAGACUCCUACGGGAGGCAGCAGUGGGGGAUAUUGCACAAUGGGGGAAACCCUGAUGCAGCGACGCCGCGUGGAGGAAGAAGGUUUUCGGAUUGUAAACUCCUGUCGUUAGGGACGAUAAUGACGGUACCUAACAAGAAAGCACCGGCUAACUACGUG
This 460-nucleotide ribosomal RNA is filed under the name uncultured bacterium. Its description in RNAcentral is "bacterial SSU rRNA". It matches the Rfam family "Bacterial small subunit ribosomal RNA", at positions 34 to 507 of the family's 1533-position model. The record is from RNAcentral.